This 83-nucleotide transfer RNA is filed under the name Brevibacterium iodinum. RNAcentral describes it as "tRNA-Tyr(gta)". It matches the Rfam family "tRNA". Rfam says of the family: Transfer RNA (tRNA) molecules are approximately 80 nucleotides in length. Their secondary structure includes four short double-helical elements and three loops (D, anti-codon, and T loops). Further hydrogen bonds mediate the characteristic L-shaped molecular structure. tRNAs have two regions of fundamental functional importance: the anti-codon, which is responsible for specific mRNA codon recognition, and the 3' end, to which the tRNAs corresponding amino acid is attached (by aminoacyl-tRNA synthetases). tRNAs cope with the degeneracy of the genetic code in two manners: having more than one tRNA (with a specific anti-codon) for a particular amino acid; and 'wobble' base-pairing, i.e. permitting non-standard base-pairing at the 3rd anti-codon position. Lineage: Bacteria; Bacillati; Actinomycetota; Actinomycetes; Micrococcales; Brevibacteriaceae. The record is from RNAcentral. RNAcentral also lists the same sequence under 2 other names.
GGCAGAUUGCCCGAGCGGCCAAAGGGAGCUGACUGUAAAUCAGCCGGCAUUGCCUUCAUAGGUUCGAAUCCUAUAUCUGCCAC